This 336-nucleotide unclassified non-coding RNA is filed under the name soil metagenome. RNAcentral describes it as "partial contains 5.8S ribosomal RNA, internal transcribed spacer 2, and large subunit ribosomal RNA". The stretch from base 1 to 120 matches the Rfam family "5.8S ribosomal RNA", at positions 35 to 154 of the family's 154-position model. The record is from RNAcentral.
GAUGAAGAACGCAGCGAAAUGCGAUAAGUAAUGCGAAUUGCAGAAUUCCGUGAGUCAUCGAAUCUUUGAACGCACAUUGCGCCCUUUGGUAUUCCGAAGGGCAUGCCUGUUCGAGCGUCAUUUCAACCAUCAAGCCCCCGGCUUGUGUUGGGGACCUGCGGCUGCCGCAGGCCCUGAAAAGCAGUGGCGGGCUCGCUGUCACACCGAGCGUAGUAGCAUACAUCUCGCUCUGGGCGUGCUGCGGGUUCCGGCCGUUAAACCACCUUCAUAACCCAAGGUUGACCUCGGAUCAGGUAGGAAGACCCGCUGAACUUAAGCAUAUCAAUAAGCGGAGGA